This 492-nucleotide ribosomal RNA is filed under the name uncultured bacterium. RNAcentral describes it as "partial 16S ribosomal RNA". It matches the Rfam family "Bacterial small subunit ribosomal RNA", at positions 30 to 507 of the family's 1533-position model. The record is from RNAcentral.
AUUGAACGCUGGCGGCAUGCUUUGCACAUGCAAGUCGAACGGUAACAGGCCUUCGGGUGCUGACGAGUGGCGAACGGGUGAGUAAUGCAUCGGAACGUGCCCAGAGGUGGGGGAUAACGCAGCGAAAGCUGUGCUAAUACCGCAUGUGAUCUGAGGAUGAAAGCGGGGGACCACGCAGCAAUGUUUGGCCUCGCGCCUCUGGAGCGGCCGAUGUCAGAUUAGGUAGUUGGUGGGGUAAAGGCCUACCAAGCCGACGAUCUGUAGCUGGUCUGAGAGGACGACCAGCCACACUGGGACUGAGACACGGCCCAGACUCCUACGGGAGGCAGCAGUAGGGAAUUUUGGACAAUGGGCGCAAGCCUGAUCCAGCAAUGCCGCGUGCGGGAAGAAGGCCUUCGGGUUGUAAACCGCUUUUGUACGGAACGAAAAGGCUCUGGCUAAUACCUGGGGCUGAUGACGGUACCGUAAGAAUAAGCACCGGCUAACUACGUG